RNAcentral lists this ribosomal RNA (579 nucleotides) under uncultured bacterium. Its description in RNAcentral is "bacterial SSU rRNA". It matches the Rfam family "Bacterial small subunit ribosomal RNA", at positions 102 to 667 of the family's 1533-position model. The record is from RNAcentral.
ACGGGUGAGUAACACGUGGGCAACCUGCCCUUGAGACUGGGAUAACUUCGGGAAACCGGAGCUAAUACCGGAUAAUAUAAGGAACCUCCUGGUUCCUUGUUGAAUGAUGGUUUCGGCUAUCACUUAAGGAUGGGCCCGCGGCGCAUUAGCUAGUUGGUGAGGUAACGGCUCACCAAGGCGACGAUGCGUAGCCGACCUGAGAGGGUGAUCGGCCACACUGGGACUGAGACACGGCCCAGACUCCUACGGGAGGCAGCAGUAGGGAAUCUUCCACAAUGGACGAAAGUCUGAUGGAGCAACGCCGCGUGAGUGAUGAAGGCCUUCGGGUCGUAAAGCUCUGUUGUUAGGGAAGAACAAGUGCGAGAGUAACUGCUCGCACCUUGACGGUACCUAACCAGAAAGCCACGGCUAACUACGUGCCAGCAGCCGCGGUAAUACGUAGGUGGCAAGCGUUAUCCGGAAUUAUUGGGCGUAAAGCGCGCGCAGGUGGUUUCUUAAGUCUGAUGUGAAAGCCCACGGCUCAACCGUGGAGGGUCAUUGGAAACUGGGGAACUUGAGUGCAGAAGAGGAAAGUGGAAU